RNAcentral lists this ribosomal RNA (460 nucleotides) under uncultured bacterium. Its description in RNAcentral is "partial 16S ribosomal RNA". It matches the Rfam family "Bacterial small subunit ribosomal RNA", at positions 338 to 795 of the family's 1533-position model. The record is from RNAcentral.
CCUACGGGAGGCAGCAGUGAGGAAUAUUGGUCAAUGGGCGCGAGCCUGAACCAGCCAAGUAGCGUGAAGGAUGACUGCCCUACGGGUUGUAAACUUCUUUUGUCAGGGAGCAAUUGGCGCUACGUGUAGCGUUAUCGAGAGUACCUGAAGAAAAAGCAUCGGCUAACUCCGUGCCAGCAGCCGCGGUAAUACGGAGGAUGCGAGCGUUAUCCGGAUGUAUUGGGUUUAAAGGGUGCGUAGGCGGAAUGCCAAGUCAGCGGUAAAAUCGCGGGGCUCAACCUCGCUCCGCCGUUGAAACUGGCGGUCUGGAGUGGGCGAGAAGUAUGCGGAAUGCGUGGUGUAGCGGUGAAAUGCAUAGAUAUCACGCAGAACUCCGAUUGCGAAGGCAGCAUACCGGCGCCCAACUGACGCUGAAGCACGAAAGCGUGGGUAUCGAACAGGAUUAGAUACCCGGGUAGUC